GGAUAUGAGGGUGAUCUGGCUAUGAUAUCUGUCACCAACUGAUUGCCAACGUUGAUGCAGCUCUUGUGGCUGGCCAGGCAGGCUGUCCCCCUCCACCCUCAGUUCCAUGUGCAUCCUUCCCAAAGCUGUGCUGGGCCAGAGGGGACAAUCUUCCUGGAGAGAGGACCACUGUUCUUUAGUCAAGGGUAUACAAGCAGCUGCACUCCCCUGCUAGAACCUCCAAACAAGCUCUAUUGGAUUUUCUGUGUCACCUGCAAAUAAUUACAGUUUUAUGUUCUUCUUUCCAAUUGUUGUUCUUU
Molecule: unclassified non-coding RNA, 299 nt
Organism: Otolemur garnettii (small-eared galago)
Lineage: Eukaryota; Metazoa; Chordata; Mammalia; Primates; Galagidae
Gene: 7SK
Rfam family: 7SK RNA
About the family: 7SK was discovered as an abundant small nuclear RNA in the mid-70s but a possible function has only recently been suggested. Two independent studies have found that 7SK RNA binds the CDK9/cyclin T complex (known as elongation factor P-TEFb).
Source: Ensembl